RNAcentral lists this ribosomal RNA (620 nucleotides) under uncultured bacterium. RNAcentral's name for it is "bacterial SSU rRNA". It matches the Rfam family "Bacterial small subunit ribosomal RNA", at positions 338 to 950 of the family's 1533-position model. The record is from RNAcentral.
CCUACGGGAGGCAGCAGUAGGGAAUCUUCCGCAAUGGACGAAAGUCUGACGGAGCAACGCCGCGUGAACGAUGAAGGCCUUCGGGUCGUAAAGUUCUGUUGUUAGGGAAGAACGAGUGCUAGUUAAAUAAGCUGGCACCUUGACGGUACCUAACCAGAAAGCCACGGCUAACUACGUGCCAGCAGCCGCGGUAAUACGUAGGUGGCAAGCGUUGUCCGGAAUUAUUGGGCGUAAAGCGCGCGCAGGCGGUUUCUUAAGUCUGAUGUGAAAGCCCCCGGCUCAACCGGGGAGGGUCAUUGGAAACUGGGAAACUUGAGUGCAGAAGAGGAAAGUGGAAUUCCAAGUGUAGCGGUGAAAUGCGUAGAGAUUUGGAGGAACACCAGUGGCGAAGGCGACUUUCUGGUCUGUAACUGACGCUGAGGCGCGAAAGCGUGGGGAGCAAACAGGAUUAGAUACCCUGGUAGUCCACGCUGUAAACGAUGAGUGCUAAGUGUUAGAGGGUUUCCGCCCUUUAGUGCUGAAGUUAACGCAUUAAGCACUCCGCCUGGGGAGUACGGUCGCAAGACAGAACUAAAGAAGUAGACGCGUGAGAGUGCGAAGGACGACACGAGGGAGGUAGG